This 485-nucleotide ribosomal RNA is filed under the name uncultured bacterium. Its description in RNAcentral is "partial 16S ribosomal RNA". It matches the Rfam family "Bacterial small subunit ribosomal RNA", at positions 29 to 523 of the family's 1533-position model. The record is from RNAcentral.
AGUGAACGCUGGCGGCGUGCUUAACACAUGCAAGUCGAACGAGAACGGAAUAUAGCUUGCUAUAUUUGUCAGCUAAGUGGCGCACGGGUGAGUAAUGUAUAGAUAACCUGCCCUUAAGAAAGGAAUAACAGUUGGAAACGACUGCUAAUGCCCUAUAUGCCUUUAAUACAUAAGUAUGCAAGGGAAACGCUUUAGUGCUUAAGGAUGGGUCUGUAUGGUAUCAGCUUGUUGGUGAGGUAAUGGCUCACCAAGGCUAUGACGCCUAACUGGUUUGAAAGGAUGAGCAGUCACCCUGGAACUGAGACACGGUCCAGACGCCUACGGGAGGAAGCAAUGGGGAAUAGUGCACAAUGGACGAAAGUCGGAUGCAGCAACGCCGCGUGGAGGAUGACACAUUUCGGUGCGUAAACUCCUUUUAUAUAGGAAGAUAAUGACGGUACUAUAUAAAUAAGCACCGGCUAGCUCCGUGCCAGCAGCCGCCGUAA